UAUUAUUUAUUCCUUCUAUAAAAAGUGACACAUAUCUAUAUUAGAGACAGUUUAACUUAAAAUUUGCCAUUUCAAGGACCAUCAAUGAGAACCUUUUACAGUCAUGCAAUUGUUAAGACAUAUUUGACUGCAAGUUACAAAAAUCUUAUACAACUAUACAAAUCUUAUAACAUGUUUAAGACGACAAUCUUCAAAAGUAAUCAUUUCCUUCUUAAGCACCAUGUCGAAAUACCCCACCUCCCAUACCAUUAACAAAUCACUUUUUUGGUUUUAAUAUACAUGGUAGGACUGCAUGCCACACCUCCCAACAGCACAAACCAGUAUAGCUUGUUCGUUGGCUUUUAUUAACAAUAAUAUAAGAGAAAGAGACCGAGCUGAUGUGGUAAUUAAUGGGUUCCAACUUUUCCGCCAAAGGAAGGAGAAAAUUCAAUGUUGACAUCUAAGAAAAUUUGAAAAAUAAUACCUUUUAGAUAAUACAAGAUAUUGAGAGCCUAAGUGUGGGUAGGAUUAAGAGAAAGCAACAGGGCAGCUCUCCUAUAGCAUGUCAGCUUAAAUAUAGGAUAAAUUAGUGGAGUAGUCACUAUAUAUAUAUAUAACUGUAUGCCAAUUGACAGUAGCCCUAUCACUAUUUCCCUUAUUGUCAUUCACAAAAUCUUUUCUUUACUCCCCAUCUUUCUGCUUCUGGUUCAUCACAACAGAGCCUUCCAUGCUUUUAUAGAGCAUCCUUCUCUCAUUAAAAGACGGUAUAAACCAAUUGAGUAGCGGCAUAUCCUGUGACUUUUUGUGCUAGCUGUGGCCUGUGGAUAUCUAAUUGCAUUAGGGGAUUAAAUAUUCUAGGAUCCGAAAAUGAGGUAACUUACUCGUCCCUUUACAAUUCAAUUCAUGAAAGCAACUCCUCUAUAAUAUAUUUUCAUCAGAUUCCCUCAGAUAAAAGGAACUGAAAGCAGAUGCUGCAUGAUUUUAUGCCUUUGGAAUGUGUG
RNAcentral lists this long non-coding RNA (980 nucleotides) under Capsicum annuum. Its description in RNAcentral is "long non-coding RNA (CANN_LNC010366)". Lineage: Eukaryota; Viridiplantae; Streptophyta; Magnoliopsida; Solanales; Solanaceae. The record is from RNAcentral.